Long non-coding RNA from Mus musculus (house mouse), 1907 nucleotides. RefSeq annotates it as predicted gene, 46959. NCBI's taxonomy places the organism in Eukaryota, Metazoa, Chordata, Mammalia, Rodentia, Muridae. The record is from RefSeq and is a predicted model, not a curated record. The transcript is spliced from 5 exons.
UGCCACCCCAGUUCCCUCAUCUUUACACCAGAGCUCAAGGGGAGAGUGCCCACUAGAUAGAUCCCUUAUUAAGUUGGGGCAUCUACUAGGAAAAACCAACUAUUUCAUGGGAGCAGUUAUUGGAGUGGAUAAAUCUACUCUCAGAGAGGUCUCACCAGCUGGGAAGAGGACCCUCUGGGCCUGCCUAGAUUUAGCCAUUGCUCUCUCCUGCCAUCAGCCUGUGCUGCUGCCCUUUGGAGAGUCUGUUCUUCGUGCUUUGCUUCUCCUGAUACAAAACCUUUCCAUCUGUGGAAUUGGUGAUUGAUAGCCCCCAAACACAUAAACACUCUCCACCUGGACAGAAGGCUCCAGGGACCUCGCUCUCAGAGGUGUGGGAUCAAGGUAAGAAGAGAGAAAAAUCCGAAAACCAACUUCUCACCAGAAGUGAGUUCCAGGAUAUGCUGGAGGAGCUGCAGAAGAAGCUGGUGGUGACAGCUGAAGGUUCGGUUGGGUCACAGUUAAAGUUGCUGGUAGGCAUCCAUCAUGGGAUGUGAGAUUUUUUCCAGCAGGGUGAACUCAACAAUGUCCAAGUCCAAUGGUUUGCAAAAUCCUGUGGGUGAAUAGGAGGUGAGGCGAAGAAGAGGUCACCUUAGAGGACAGAGAUGUGACUGCUUGAUUACCUCAUGGAUAGAAGCAACCAGAGGGAAGCAAGCAAGAGGCAAGAGUUGCUUUGUGGUGCAUGGGGUAGAGAGCUGCACACCUCGGAGCUGAUUCCCCCCCGGAAAUACUCAUAACCUUCAUUCAGGGCAGACAGAAAAGCCUGGUUUCUGCUAGUGAUUGUGUCUCUAUUCUAGAAAAUUCUUUGUGCCCAUGACUUGGAGGGCCAACUAUCUCUUCCCCUCUCCCUUCCUUUAUCCCCUCACCCUUGCUUUAAAGAUGGCUUCCAUUCGUUUGCUAACUACACUAAGCAAUUGCAUGAAAUGUUCUGGCAAGCUUUAAGAAGAUAAAUUUGUCCAGUGCAAUUUAAACUAUGAGGGACAGAUACUUCAUCUCCAACACCUCCAGCUCUUUUCCUUGGGCUGGAACUGUGCCCCUAAAGACUGUGGGACAGUGGGAAGGCUGCAUAGCAUUCUCAGCAGCUCCUUGCAUGGGUGAGGGACAAGGGCGUCCAGACAGAGGCACAGAAGCAACAGGCUUGUCCUUCACUUAAGUCUCCAAGUAUCUGAGAACAAAGACCAAAUUACAGAUGCCUCAAAACGUCUGGAGUUAUCAGGCUGCCGUCAUUGUGACUGGCAGGGCCAUAGUUAACUGCUGCUUGCCUGGGUUCUGAGAACCUGCCUGCUGGACUUUCAUUUCCACUCUCCCUGGGUUUGAGGAGCUAACCAUCCUGUGGAAUCCCACUCAUCUUUUAAGAAUUUAUCUUCAACGUACCAAACUACAGAGUCGUCUUCAAACCUACUCACCGGAGCUAAGGGACCACUCCUGUGACUCCCAGGUCUUUGCCUGUAGAGCUUUGUCGUGAUGCUCAGGACACUGACUCGUUGGGGAGUUCUAGCUCUGUCUCAGGUAUCACUGUGCUAGCCUAGACCAUGCCUGUGCCUAGGAAUGUCCCCACACAUGUGAGUGAUGUACAUGAUAGUAAACAUGUGCUCACCCAUGGUUUUCCAAGGCCCUUCUACCUCUGUCCUUCUCUCCGGUCUGCUCUGCCCUUCCCGACACCUCUCCUUUCCCGGGGGGCAGACAUAUGGCCUGGGAUGGGGGAGCUGAUGACCCAUUUCAACCUUAUCCAGGCAUCCUCCAGCUCCUGCUGCCUCAUGGGCCCAUCACAGCUUCCUGAACAAAUCCCUCCUUCCAUCAAGAGGAUCUUUGUGAACUCAACAGAUGCCACUGGGCCUAGAAGUCAAAUAAAUAUGAUUAUUCAAACAACA